Molecule: ribosomal RNA, 508 nt
Filed under: uncultured bacterium
Lineage: Bacteria
Description: bacterial SSU rRNA
Rfam family: Bacterial small subunit ribosomal RNA
Source: RNAcentral
AUCAUGGCUCAGGAUGAACGCUAGCGGCAGGCUUAACACAUGCAAGUCGAGGGGCAUCGGGAGUAGCAAUACUUGCCGGCGACCGGCGCAAGGGUGCGUAACGCGUGAGCAACAUGCCCGUAUCAGGGGGAUAAUCCAUGGAAACGUGGUCUAAUACCCCAUAGUAAUUAUGUAAGGCAUCUUAUAUAAUUUAAAGCUUUGGUGGAUACGGAUUGGCUCGCGUGACAUUAGCUAGAUGGUAAGGUAACGGCUUACCAUGGCUACGAUGUCUAGGGGUUCUGAGAGGAAGGUCCCCCACACUGGAACUGAGACACGGUCCAGACUCCUACGGGAGGCAGCAGUGAGGAAUAUUGGACAAUGGAUGGAAAUCUGAUCCAGCCAUGCCGCGUGCCAGGAAGACGGCCCUAUGGGUUGUAAACUGCUUUUGUAUGGGAGCAAUAAGGGCUACGCGUAGUCCGAUGAGAGUACCAUACGAAUAAGCACCGGCUAACUCCGUGCCAGCCGCCGC